Long non-coding RNA from Macaca fascicularis (crab-eating macaque), 2057 nucleotides. The record is from Ensembl. Lineage: Eukaryota; Metazoa; Chordata; Mammalia; Primates; Cercopithecidae.
UGCACAGAAAUGGGGCAUCCUAGUGGCCCUCUGCGCUGUCCUGUCCAGGGGCAGGUGUGGGAGUGGGGCUCUGUUGGAAAGAGAAGCUGUCUUUCCACAUGGUGUCAAAGCCCUGCCAGGAACAUCAGUCUGGACAGAGAGCUGCGCUGCAUAUAGCACCCUCUCCUCACCUCAGUCUUCACCUGAGAGCUCACCUGGAUCCAAAGAUUCAUAGCUUCCACCAGAUUCUCAAAGGGAUCUGUGAUCCAAAAAAAAAUUCAGGAAUCACUGGUCUUAGGUGAAUUCUGAAGCAUUUUCUGACUGUCCACUAUGUGCUAGCCAAAGUUCAGCAACAUAGCUCCAGACUUCCAGCAGAGGACAGGGCAGUGAGGCAGAAGGUCAAGUUGAGCUGCAAUUAAGAGUUCCCUGAGGUCAGUGCGGUCACAGAGCCCUGAACAGUAACCUCUGGGUCAGGGUCUUCCAUCAGAAUUUUCCCAAGCAGAGGAGCACUGUGUUCAAAGCCAUGGAGAAAAGAACCCCAAGGUAGUAAGCUCAUGGACAGCCUUGAAUGCUAGGCUUGGUGUUUAAACUUGGAGGAGCAGCAAGGCUCAUGCUUGCAUAGGCCCAUGAGACCUGCAUAGACUGCAAUCCUUGGCAACAGUUUACUUAGUGUUCUGUCAGAGGCUUAGGUUUAAGUUCUUUCCCUGUAGCUGUGUGACAUUGCACAAGUCCCAUCACCACUCAGUGCCUCUGUCUACAAAACAUAGAUAGCACAUGUAUGCAUGCUUGCCUUGCCUGGCACAGUAUCUAUGGGGAUCUGAUGAAAGGGUGCUCAUGCACCUGCUGAGUAAACAACUGCAAACCUCUUUAUACAUAUCAGGUGGCUAUAAUUUAUCUGGAGACUGGCAAGGAGCAGUGGGCCCCUCUGAAGCAUGGAGAGUGGGGGAUUCCGUGAUAGCCAGGCAGAGCUGGGAAGCUGGGCCUGCCAGCUCCCAACCAUUGCUGCCUCCUGCACUUGUCACCACCUCAGGCAGUGCCUCCAGCAGGGCACCCCACUGCCACACUUGCCCCAGUUUGAGAAUGUCAUUUACCUCUGUUUCUCCCAUCAGCCUAGAACCUCAUCCCCCAUACAAGGUCCUGGCUUCUUAAGACACCUCUGCCUCAAUGGCCCUGGCUCUCCAGAUCUCAGCCUUGAGGAGUGUCAGCAUCAGGCAGAGCUGAGAGCCGUUCCAGAGUUGGGACCUCAGUUGUGGUCCACAUGGCCAUCUGCCUCCAUGAGGGGUGCCUAUGGGUAACUUCUGCCCUUCUUUCUUAUACUCCCCACCAGCCUCCAUCCUCCACCUCUAGUAUUUCUAAAUCUGUCCCUUUCUUCAGAACUAAACAACUAGUGAUAUUAUUUUCUUGUUUGGCCAGUCAGGCUGCUUCUGGGGAUGGGGUGGGAAGGGCAUCCCCAAUUGUUUCUGAGCCAUGGCUAGUGUUUUUUACUGGGCUGGAGGAGAAACCAUGGUGGCCUGAUCAUGCUGCUGGGACUGCUGAGGUUGCAAGCUUCCUAUGUCUGUGUUUGGGGGUUUCUCCUUUCAUGUGCAACCCAGCACAUUGUCUAAGGAAGGAAGCGGGUGGGGACUGGUCUCUGCAAUGCCUGGUCCACAUGACUGACCACUCUCCCCAGGCUGACCCAGCUAAUGUUCACACCAGCCAUUUUUUUUUCAUACAUUUUAUUUUGAAGUCAGACUUACAGAGAAGUUUUAGAAAUAAUACAAAGAAUUAUUUUAUAUCCUUUACUCAUAUUCCCCAAGUGUUAACAUUUAACUUGUUUGCUUUAUCAUACACUCUCUCACACACAUAUACCUACUGUAUUAUUACUUUUUUCUGGAAACAUUUGAGAGUAAAUUGCUGACCUAAUACCCUUAUUUCCCCAAAAAGUUCAGCAUAUAUUUCCUAAACAAGGACAGCCUCUUUUAUAACCACAGUACAGGUAUCAAAAUUAAGAAAUUAAUGCUGACACAGUACCUGAUCUUAUUUAAAUGUUGCCAGUUGUUGAACUAAUAUCCUUUGUAACGAAAAACAAAAAAAAAAAA